AAGAUCAUACUUUUAGGGAUCAUUUCUAUAGUGUGUAUCUUGACCGUUACGUCCAUGACCUGACGGUUUCGCAACUGCGAUGAUGCGACGUAGCCACCUGCUCUGAGCGUGAAACUUGUUCGCCUUCGAAGUGCAAGCUUCUAAAGCGGACAUUGAGGAGUGUUCCGUCGGCAGUCAUUGCUAACGGAGGAGCGGGAGGCCGUCUGAGCGGC
Molecule: small nucleolar RNA, 212 nt
Organism: Styela clava
Lineage: Eukaryota; Metazoa; Chordata; Ascidiacea; Stolidobranchia; Styelidae
Product: small nucleolar RNA U3
Source: RefSeq, a predicted model, not a curated record